AUGCAUUGGUUCGCAUGGUGGAAGUUGUGUGUGCCGAAGAAGAAAGGGGGAUUGGGGUUUAGAGACCUUCACAGUUUUAACCUUGCUAUGUUAGCAAAGCAGUGUUGGCGACUUCUCCAGAACCCAGACUCUCUGUGUGCGCAAAUUCUCAGUGCUAAGUAUUAUCCAGAUGGUAAUUUAUUGAAAGCUGGACCGAAAAGGGGAUCUUCAUAUACUUGGCAAAGCAUUGUCGCCGGCAUUCAAACUUUCCAAAGGGGUUGCAUUUGGAGGGUUGGCUCGGGGUCUCAAAUCAACAUUUGGCAGGACCCAUGGAUUCCAACCAGUGUAACUCGAAAAGUAAUCACACCAAGUGGGACGAUGAUGUUGUCAAAAGUAGAAGAACUAAUUGAUCCUCACACUGGAAUGUGGGACGAGGUGCUUUUGGGAGACUGCUUCUCUCUUGUUGAUGUGCACAGAAUACUACAAAUUUCGCUAAACCCCCCGCACAUGACCGAGGAUUUUAUCGCAUGGAACUACACAAGGUCCGGCACCUUUUCUGUACGCUCGGCAUAUUAUAGGGAGUUAGAACACCAACUUGGUCCACGUCUGACAAGAAUUGAUGGGCAGGGAAACGCUCAAAUCAAUACUAUAUGGAAAGAGGCAUGGAAGCUAAAGGUACCGGGGAUGGUAAAACACUUUGCAUGGAAAGUACUCCAUGGAGUACUACCAUGUUAUGGGGUUCUUGCUAGCCGACACAUUCCCCUGUCGCCACGAUCAUCCCAUGCCGCAUCGUGGUUCUUCCCGCACGUCAGGGACGAUAAGGAAUGGUUUGUAUCUCCUCUCAAGCAUGGGAUGCAACAUGGCAGAGAUAGAAUCUGA
This 858-nucleotide ribosomal RNA is filed under the name Triticum aestivum (bread wheat). Its description in RNAcentral is "partial small subunit ribosomal RNA". Lineage: Eukaryota; Viridiplantae; Streptophyta; Magnoliopsida; Poales; Poaceae. The record is from RNAcentral.